AUGCAGACAAAUGAUGGUGCUAAAAGGGAUGAGCUUCAUUACUCGAACAAGCAUAUCUUGGAGAGCGCACAUUCAGCUUUUGUUUUGGUAGCUUUAGAGGAAAAUUACAGUAAGGAAGUUGGAGGCCUUAUCAAGUCCAACAUGUGGUCUCUGAAAAGACCUUAUGAAAGCCAGCCACAAAGCUUCAUAGAAGUGAGAGGAGGAGCCAUGAGAAUAGCUCCUUCGAGAUCCAGGGCUGUGGCUUCUUCUUGUCAGUUGAGAAGAAGCGUAUUUUUGCCGAAAACUGGCAAUGCCACCGGAGCAGCAGCAACAUCACUCAACCUGUUCAUGUUAGCCCCAGAUAAAUUAUCAUCCAUGCUGAACCCCGCGGACAAGGAUUCUGACCAAGACUCGCUGCUGGAGGUUGCCGCCGUCGCGGAGCUGGAUGAGGUCAUGGCGUCUUCAAGCUUUUUUAGGCUGAUGCUCCUCUGUCCACAGAAUCUCGGAGCAGCAAGGUGUGUUGCUGCUACUCCCUACACCUCUUGA
RNAcentral lists this ribosomal RNA (525 nucleotides) under Triticum aestivum (bread wheat). RNAcentral's name for it is "partial small subunit ribosomal RNA". Lineage: Eukaryota; Viridiplantae; Streptophyta; Magnoliopsida; Poales; Poaceae. The record is from RNAcentral.